AACGAACGCUGGCGGCAGGCCUAACACAUGCAAGUCGAGCGCCCAGCAAUGGGAGCGGCAGACGGGUGAGUAACGCGUGGGAACCUUCCCAAUGGUACGGAAUAGCUCAGGGAAACUUGAGGUAAUACCGCAUAAGCCCGAAAGGGGAAAGGAUUAUCGCCAUUGGAUGGGCCCGCGUAGGAUUAGCUAGUUGGUGAGGUAAUGGCUCACCAAGGCGACGAUCCUUAGCUGGUUUGAGAGAAUGACCAGCCACACUGGGACUGAGACACGGCCCAGACUCCUACGGGAGGCAGCAGUGGGGAAGUCUUGGACAAUGGGCGAAAGCCUGAUCCAGCCAUGCCGCGUGAGUGACGAAGGUCUUCGGAUUGUAAAGCUCUUUUGCCAGGGACGAUAAUGACGGUACCCGCAGAAUAAGCCCCGGCUAACUUCGUGCCAGCAGCCGCUGUAAU
RNAcentral lists this ribosomal RNA (449 nucleotides) under uncultured bacterium. RNAcentral's name for it is "bacterial SSU rRNA". It matches the Rfam family "Bacterial small subunit ribosomal RNA", at positions 29 to 524 of the family's 1533-position model. The record is from RNAcentral.